GCUGAGCUUGGUAACACAAGCUUGUAACUCAAGUGAGGGCAUUAAGGUGAUGUGAAUAAACUAAAAAACCAAAAUCGAAGAUCCCUUGCCAUAAAUCUCCAUCAAGGCUAAAAUGCCGGAAUUUGCUUGGGCUUCUCAAUCUCCAUCAAGGCUACAAUGCCGGACUUUGCUUGGGCCUUCUUAGUUUGGACCAUCACUUUU
Molecule: non-coding RNA, 201 nt
Filed under: Solanum tuberosum (potato)
Lineage: Eukaryota; Viridiplantae; Streptophyta; Magnoliopsida; Solanales; Solanaceae
Source: RNAcentral